AACACUUCUAAACUAUUCA
This 19-nucleotide small nuclear RNA is filed under the name Arabidopsis thaliana (thale cress). RNAcentral's name for it is "snRNA_13868". Lineage: Eukaryota; Viridiplantae; Streptophyta; Magnoliopsida; Brassicales; Brassicaceae. The record is from RNAcentral.